AUGAUAUUGGCAUUUCCUAAGCAAUCCAUCCAAUAACUUCAAACAAAUUGGGUCAUCAUCAACAGCAAGAACUCUCAUACCAAUAGGAAAAUUAUCAUAAUUCUCCCUUUCCUCCACAGUCAUCUUUGAAACCACAAAUUGAAAAAUACCCAAAAGCUAAAAAAGAUCAGUUAAACUGAAUUAUUCUCCCUUUCCUCCACAGUCAUCUUUAAAACCACAAAUUGAAAAAUACCCAAAAGCUAAAAAAGAUCAGUUAAACUGAAUCUGGAAAAAAGAUUAAAACUUUAGCAUAAAACCACAAAAAGAUUAAAACUUUAGCAUAUUUCCUCUAAUUUCCUCAAUAGUCAUAUCUAAAACCAUAUAUUGAAAAACACCCAGAAGAGAAAAAAGAUUACUUAAACUGUAUCUUGAAAAAAGAUUAAAACUUUACCAUAAAAGAUUAAAACUUUAGUAUAUUUCCUCUAAUUUCCUCCACAGUUAUCACUAAACCACAAAUUGAAAAACACCCAAAAGCUAAAAAAGAUCACUUAAACUGAAUCUUGAGAAAAAGAUUAAAACUUUAGCAUAAAAACAUAAAAAGGGUCACUUUCUUAA
Molecule: long non-coding RNA, 594 nt
Filed under: Nicotiana benthamiana
Lineage: Eukaryota; Viridiplantae; Streptophyta; Magnoliopsida; Solanales; Solanaceae
Description: long non-coding RNA (NBEN_LNC018298)
Source: RNAcentral